This 681-nucleotide ribosomal RNA is filed under the name uncultured Bacilli bacterium. Its description in RNAcentral is "bacterial SSU rRNA". It matches the Rfam family "Bacterial small subunit ribosomal RNA", at positions 68 to 735 of the family's 1533-position model. The record is from RNAcentral. Lineage: Bacteria; Bacillati; Bacillota; Bacilli.
GAAGAGAGGAGCUUGCUCUUCUUGGAUGAGUUGCGAACGGGUGAGUAACGCGUAGGUAACCUGCCUUGUAGCGGGGGAUAACUAUUGGAAACGAUAGCUAAUACCGCAUAACAAUGGAUGACACAUGUCAUUUAUUUGAAAGGGGCAAUUGCUCCACUACAAGAUGGACCUGCGUUGUAUUAGCUAGUAGGUGAGGUAACGGCUCACCUAGGCGACGAUACAUAGCCGACCUGAGAGGGUGAUCGGCCACACUGGGACUGAGACACGGCCCAGGCUCCUACGGGAGGCAGCAGUAGGGAAUCUUCGGCAAUGGGGGCAACCCUGACCGAGCAACGCCGCGUGAGUGAAGAAGGUUUUCGGAUCGUAAAGCUCUGUUGUAAGUCAAGAACGAGUGUGAGAGUGGAAAGUUCACACUGUGACGGUAGCUUACCAGAAAGGGACGGCUAACUACGUGCCAGCAGCCGCGGUAAUACGUAGGUCCCGAGCGUUGUCCGGAUUUAUUGGGCGUAAAGCGAGCGCAGGCGGUUUGAUAAGUCUGAAGUUAAAGGCUGUGGCUCAACCAUAGUUCGCUUUGGAAACUGUCAAACUUGAGUGCAGAAGGGGAGAGUGGAAUUCCAUGUGUAGCGGUGAAAUGCGUAGAUAUAUGGAGGAACACCGGUGGCGAAAGCGGCUCUCUGGUCU